Molecule: non-coding RNA, 78 nt
Organism: Schistosoma curassoni
Lineage: Eukaryota; Metazoa; Platyhelminthes; Trematoda; Strigeidida; Schistosomatidae
Source: Rfam
AGCUUUUUGAAUCCGUGUAGAGAUUUCGUCAGACAUCAAAGUAUCACGGCUGAUCAGACUUUCAGGAAUAGUGAAGUU